UAGGGAAUCUUCGGCAAUGGGGGGAACCCUGACCGAGCAACGCCGCGUGAGUGAAGAAGGUUUUCGGAUCGUAAAGCUCUGUUGUUAAGGAAGAACGAGCGUGAGAAUGGAAAGUUCAUGCUGUGACGGUACUUAACCAGAAAGGGACGGCUAACUACGUGCCAGCAGCCGCGGUAAUACGUAGGUCCCGAGCGUUGUCCGGAUUUAUUGGGCGUAAAGCGCGCGCAGACGGUUAGAUAAGUCUGAAGUUAAAGGCAGUGGCUCAACCAUUGUAGGCUUUGGAAACUGUUUAACUUGAGUGCAGAAGGGGAGAGUGGAAUUCCAUGUGUAGCGGUGAAAUGCGUAGAUAUAUGGAGGAACAACGGUGGCGAAAGCGGCUCUCUGGUCUGUAACUGACGCUGAGGCUCGAAAGCGUGGGGAGCGAACAGG
This 429-nucleotide ribosomal RNA is filed under the name Bacteroidota bacterium. Its description in RNAcentral is "Bacteroidetes bacterium partial 16S ribosomal RNA". It matches the Rfam family "Bacterial small subunit ribosomal RNA", at positions 355 to 776 of the family's 1533-position model. Lineage: Bacteria; Pseudomonadati; Bacteroidota. The record is from RNAcentral.